AGUUUCACUUGAUUACCCCACCAUCCAGCCCAGUGAGCUACCUCCAGACUCCCUCUCCACCCUGGUCUGGGCCCCGGGACACUGCCCUGUCCGAACGAUAUCACUCAAGGUCCAUCCCGUGGAAAUGCCGACAAGAGAUGGGAGUGCGGAAGAGAGUGGAGCAAGGCUGACUCCCAACUCUGACCCCAGCUGCUCUGGUCCUGAAAGCCUCGGCUCCUGUCCUGGCCUUCAUCUACACUGACAGCUGCUUCUAGGUCCUGGAGCAUCCUCUCCCCUUCUCGUUCAGGUCCGGGAUGGUAAAGGCUCUCCAAUGCUGUCCCAAAGUGCUUCCCUGUCCCUUGCUGAUUUUCCCUUAACCAUCCCUGAACUGCUAUAACUAGUCCACUUAUUGACUGAUUGAUUUUUCCAUUUGCGGGCACCAUCUGCUUCCUUCCAUCUGCUUUCUUCAGAGACCCUGACCAAUGGCCCAGGCUCCUCUUUGGGUUCACAGCAUUUGCCAGCAUUAGAAGCACAUCCUUCAAGACUCCCCAUUUCCAAGAAUCCUCGCCAGAUUGUCCUUAAAAUACAUGUCUGGACUUACUUUCCACACACCAUUUAGCCUGUGUCAUCCUCUCCCUCUCACUCCGGACAGCAAUCCAUCCCCAAGACUCUGCCCACCAGCCCAGGGCAGGUGCGAGCUCUCCCUAAACCCCCUCUGUGCUUCCCUCAACAGCUAGCACAAGUCGUAUGCUCUCAGAAGAAGUUUGAGAGACCAAUAAACAUUCCCUCCCUUGCUCACACCCAGAGAACAUCACUUCAGCACUUUCGUUUGAAACACCAAUGGUUUUUCAUACUGACUUUUUCUCAGUCCAUGACUCUCAAGAGGGCCUGGCCUGGGGAUGUGCCUGCCAUGGUCUCUCCCCCACGGUCCACCAGGGAAUGCAGAGCAACACAGAAGACUGAGCCUCAGGUAAGAACAUCUGUCCCAUCCCCUCAUUUUGCCAAUGGAGAAGUGGAGACCAGAUUGCUUAAGGGAUUUCUCAAAAGCCACAGGUGAGUUCAUAGGUGGAGACGGACCAGCCACACUGCCUUCAAGGAGCCCUGGCACUCGGUCUUGUAGAGAGACCCUCACAUAUCUUGGCGCUUCUUUGACAAAGGUGCCCAGAAAUGUGGUCUGGAAUUUUAUGAAACUGGAGGAAUAACAUGCUGCAGCUUCCUGGAGGGCCUGAUCUCUGCCAGGUUUCAGGGAUGAAGAGUAAAGAAAGUGCCUAGUGCCUCAGGAUUCCUCUUCUGGACUGAUCAGACUCAGCCAAUCACUGGAAAGAGGCUCCUGUUGAAAAAGCUGCAGCCCUCUUCGGCUCCCUGACUGCACCUCUCCCCACCAUGCUGGGAGGUCAAGACGGAUGAGGGCGGGCGCCUCUCUGGAGCCAGGUCUAAUCAGAGAUACAGCUUCCAGAUGAAUCACCUUUGCAAGGCCUCCUUGCCAUGCCCCUUUGAAUUAAAAGAGCUCCCUCUACUAACAUAUUAAUUAAAAUGAAAUAUUAAUAAGCUGACCUCUAUUAUUUAUCAGCUGUUUGGGGAGAAAAGAAAAAUAUUGAGAUCCAAAGAGAAAUCAAUUUCCCCAAAACCGCCCUUCCCUGAGCAGACUGAUUCGUGUCACAUAAUAAAGAGAUAAGCUUAUCGGCUGCAUCAGUUCAAAGACGUGUGCUGUAAAUGUUGAUUUUGAACCAAUAAGAAGAUUAUAAGCACUGUCAUAAAAUAUCUUUCCGGGAUGUAAAUUAUUCAAAGCCCUCCGUGGGCAGACACAGUGUCUCAUGCCUCAGUGAUCCCCGUUCUCUGCAAUACAUUUCACUUAUUAAAGUCAGAGAGGGCCUCUGUUGAUAAAGCCCCCUAAAUAAAUGAUAACCUUCAUCUCCGUCUUCUAAAUUAUUUCCACGACUAGAAUUCGGAAUGUUUGUGCCAGAGGUGCCACAAAGUACGGCCUUCUUGAGUGGGGUAUGUCUUCAUUGGGAAGCUCGGUUCAGGUAAGGGCUGAACCCCUAGAUUCUUGGAGCUGGGCAGUGGCUACAGUAAUGCAUACAACCCUGGGGGCUCAUCUUCACAAGGAGGGAAGGGGUGAUGCAAGAUGCAAGGGACAAUAUGAUGAAAAGGCCUGGACCCCUAACCUGCCUCGCUAGUCAGGCUGAGUUGUUAUCCAACCUGAGUGAGUUGGACAACCAACUCCAAAAGUGAGUCUCUUGUUACAGGGAGGUGGGUAUAAUACGUGUGCCCACCAGGCACAGGGU
This is a long non-coding RNA of Bos taurus (domestic cattle), 2264 nucleotides long. The record is from Ensembl. Lineage: Eukaryota; Metazoa; Chordata; Mammalia; Artiodactyla; Bovidae.